RNAcentral lists this ribosomal RNA (460 nucleotides) under uncultured bacterium. Its description in RNAcentral is "partial 16S ribosomal RNA". It matches the Rfam family "Bacterial small subunit ribosomal RNA", at positions 338 to 795 of the family's 1533-position model. The record is from RNAcentral.
CCUACGGGUGGCAGCAGUGAGGAAUAUUGGUCAAUGGACGCAAGUCUGAACCAGCCAUGCCGCGUGCAGGAAGACGGCUCUAUGAGUUGUAAACUGCUUUUGUACGAGGGUAAACGCAGAUACGCGUAUCUGUCUGUAAGUACCAUACGAAUAAGGAUCGGCUAACUCAGUGCCAGCAGCCGCGGUAAUACGGAGGAUUCAAGCGUUAUCCGGAUUUAUUGGGUUUAAAGGGUGCGUAGGCGGUUGGAUAAGUUAGAGGUGAAAUCCCGCGGCUCAACUUCGGAAUUGCAUCUGAUACUGUUCGGCUAGAGAGUAGUAGAGGUAGGCGGAAUGCAUGGUGUAGCGGUGAAAUGCUUAGAGAUCACACAGAACACCGAUUGCGAAGGCAGCUUACCAAGCUACUACUGACGUUGAGGCACGAAAGCGUGGGUAGCAAACAGGAUUAGAUACCCCGGUAGUC